Molecule: long non-coding RNA, 1226 nt
Organism: Phyllostomus discolor (pale spear-nosed bat)
Lineage: Eukaryota; Metazoa; Chordata; Mammalia; Chiroptera; Phyllostomidae
Exons: 3
Source: RefSeq, a predicted model, not a curated record
AGUUAUUUUUUUAAUGUGCUUUCCUUACCGCUUCCCGUGCCUGGUGCGUGACUUUUAGGGUCUGGUAAGAAAGCUCCAUCAGACACUGUGUUAGGGCCGGAGAGAAGGGAGAAGAGAAGCCACUUGCUGAUCGACCGCAUGUCAGACAAGAUUGCGAAGUGGAUCUCACUGCCGUGGACGUACAGCUGUUCCAGCUGUACCGCUCUGCAUCUCUGUGAUGGACUGCGACGUUUGACAUCUGGCAGUUCCUGUUGUCCGUUUCAUGAGCUUCCCACCACACACCUUGCAGUUCCUGUUGUCUGUUUCAUGAGCCUCCCAUCAUACACCUGGCUGGUGUUCAUCUCACAUUCACGAAGUGGCCCCUUUGCUGGUGCUGUGGGGACUCCAGGGACUGAAGGCAUGAGCUAUUGUUCCAGGAACUGAAGGUAUGAUACACCUCGACUCCAGGAGACCAUAAACAGUUCUACCUUUGUGCCUCAAGUAAUCAAGAAGGUAUCUGAGCCAUGGUACUCCAGAUGAAGACCACCCGCCCAGGACACAGAUGACAGAAUGCUGGGGUUUUUAUCUGAUUAACUUUUCCCCAGGAAUUCCAAACCCUUCGCCUACACUUUUCUUCUCCUUAUAAAAGGGUAGGUUUCAAAUGGAAUUUAAGAUGGUCUGUUAGAAUACAUAAGCCGCCAUCUUCUCAGAUCGCCAGCCAUCUGAAUAAAGCACCCAUAAGAUUCAAUCCGUCUCUGCUUACUGCUUGUGGUAGUGACAGGACAGCACGAACCAACGAAUGAGCGGGGUCUUUGGGUUUCAGUCCCUUGAGCAGAGAGAGGGAUUUGAAUUAAAGCAGAGCAUCUGGGUUUAGGAAGGUCUUUCUGAAGAAGUGAUACUUAAACUGAGACCUGAAAGAUGAGCAGGUGUUUGUGAGGGGAAGGGAAAGAGUGGGAAGUUAUUCUGGGCCCAGAAAUCAACAUUCAGAGGUCUGAAAACCUGGUGGUGGUGGGGGGAGGUGGGCACUGGAGGAACCUGAAAGCAGUGUAUUGUCGGUGGAGUGAGGAGUGGGAAGACGCAGCAGGUAGGAACCAUAUUAAUCAGCGACUCGUAAAAUAUGUUUAGUGUUUUAAAGUCUUUCGUGGGAGAAGUCCGUCCGCCUCUUCAAGGAAAUCUGAACCUUGUACUUGGUCCAGCGAAUUUUCUGACCAGCUGGAGUCAGCACCUUCUCUCAGCCUUUAUCAGUA